AAUUGAAAAAAAAAAAAAAAAAAAAAAAAAAAAAAAAAAAAAAAAAAAAAAAAAAAAAAAAAAAAAAAAAAGGCUAGUUAAAGUUAUAGUUGCAAGGAGGAUAGAAUCAAGUAGUUAUGUACACACCACAAGUAUAAACAAAUAAUUAAACAUGGAAGAGAAAUAUCGAGGAAGAAAUAAAAAGUUAUCAAAAUUUAAUAAUAAUAAUGAA
RNAcentral lists this long non-coding RNA (211 nucleotides) under Piliocolobus tephrosceles (Ugandan red Colobus). RNAcentral describes it as "lncRNA (ENSPTEG00000011705.1)". The record is from RNAcentral. Lineage: Eukaryota; Metazoa; Chordata; Mammalia; Primates; Cercopithecidae.